RNAcentral lists this long non-coding RNA (390 nucleotides) under Phasianus colchicus (ring-necked pheasant). RNAcentral describes it as "lncRNA (ENSPCLG00000003680.1)". The record is from RNAcentral. Lineage: Eukaryota; Metazoa; Chordata; Aves; Galliformes; Phasianidae.
AUGUUGUCUUGGGUCACCAUCAAGAUCUUGACCUGCCUAACUGAUGUGACUCAGGGAAAGAGGCUGCUGGCAUCUCUGGUGCUAUUUCCUUUUCCCAUCCUGAGCGUGCACGGAGCCAUUCCCAGAGAGUUGGAGCUCUUCCACAAGAUGGUGCCGAGCUCUGUCGCUCACAAGUGGUGCGUAAUUGAAAUACGGCACACAUCCUCCUGGGGAAGGAAGAGAUUAUCUCAACGAAAACAGCAGAUGUAUUUUGGAGCGACGAGACAAAUGUUUAGUGAAAUUAAAGUUAUUCAUGUGCAGUCACACAGGGAAUAUUUGCAUGAUAUUUUACUAAUUGCUCCAAAAUCUGACUUGUAGCAAAUAAACAAACAUAGGAGAAAAAAUAAGCCA